GAAAUGCGAUAAGUAGUGUGAAUUGCAGAAUUCAGUGAAUCAUCGAAUCUUUGAACGCACAUUGCGCCCCUUGGUAUUCCAUGGGGCAUGCCUGUUCGAGCGUCAUUUGUACCCUCAAGCUCUGCUUGGUGCUGGGUGUUUGUCCCCGUCUCCGCGCGUGGACUCGCCCCAAAGUGAUUGGCAGCCGGCGUACUGGUCCCGGAGCGCAGCACAUGUCGCGCAAACGAGUGCCUUGGUACGGCGGCGUCCAUAAGCCCCUCUCUCACGCUCUUGACCUCGGAUCAGGUAGGGAUACCCGCUGAACUUAAGC
Molecule: unclassified non-coding RNA, 310 nt
Filed under: plant metagenome
Description: partial contains 5.8S ribosomal RNA, internal transcribed spacer 2, and large subunit ribosomal RNA
Rfam family: 5.8S ribosomal RNA (bases 1-105)
Source: RNAcentral